Molecule: ribosomal RNA, 583 nt
Filed under: uncultured bacterium
Lineage: Bacteria
Description: partial 16S ribosomal RNA
Rfam family: Bacterial small subunit ribosomal RNA
Source: RNAcentral
UGGGGAAUUUUGGACAAUGGGCGAAAGCCUGAUCCAGCAAUGCCGCGUGUGUGAAGAAGGCCUUCGGGUUGUAAAGCACUUUUGUCCGGAAAGAAAUCCUUGGCUCUAAUACAGUCGGGGGAUGACGGUACCGGAAGAAUAAGCACCGGCUAACUACGUGCCAGCAGCCGCGGUAAUACGUAGGGUGCAAGCGUUAAUCGGAAUUACUGGGCGUAAGCGUGCGCAGGCGGUUUGCUAAGACCGAUGUGAAAUCCCCGGGCUCAACCUGGGAACUGCAUUGGUGACUGGCAGGCUAGAGUAUGGCAGAGGGGGGUAGAAUUCCACGUGUAGCAGUGAAAUGCGUAGAGAUGUGGAGGAAUACCGAUGGCGAAGGCAGCCCCCUGGGCCAAUACUGACGCUCAUGCACGAAAGCGUGGGGAGCAAACAGGAUUAGAUACCCUGGUAGUCCACGCCCUAAACGAUGUCAACUAGUUGUUGGGGAUUCAUUUCCUUAGUAACGUAGCUAACGCGUGAAGUUGACCGCCUGGGGAGUACGGUCGCAAGAUUAAAACUCAAAUGAAUUGACGGGGUCAUAGCUGUUUCC